This 388-nucleotide ribosomal RNA is filed under the name uncultured bacterium. RNAcentral describes it as "bacterial SSU rRNA". It matches the Rfam family "Bacterial small subunit ribosomal RNA", at positions 28 to 417 of the family's 1533-position model. The record is from RNAcentral.
GACGAACGCUGGCGGCGUGCUUAACACAUGCAAGUCGAGCGGUAAGGCCCUUUCGGGGGUACACGAGCGGCGAACGGGUGAGUAACACGUGGGUGACCUGCCCUCGGCUCUGGGAUAAGCCUGGGAAACCGGGUCUAAUACUGGAUAUGACUCCAUGACGCAUGUUGUGGGGUGGAAAGCCUUGUGCGGCUGAGGAUGGGCCCGCGGCCUAUCAGCUUGUUGGUGGGGUGAUGGCCUACCAAGGCGACGACGGGUAGCCGGCCUGAGAGGCGACCGGCCACACUGGGACUGAGACACGGCCCAGACUCCUACGGGAGGGCAGCAGUGGGGAAUCUUGCGCAAUGGGCGAAAGCCUGACGCAGCGACGCCGCGUGAGGGAUGACGGCCU